GCCGAAGUGGCGGAACUGGUAUACGCGCACGACUCAAAAUCGUGUCCCGUUUUCGGGAUGUGGGUUCAAUUCCCACCUUCGGCACCA
This 87-nucleotide transfer RNA is filed under the name candidate division WWE3 bacterium CG_4_9_14_3_um_filter_34_6. RNAcentral's name for it is "tRNA-Leu". It matches the Rfam family "tRNA". Rfam says of the family: Transfer RNA (tRNA) molecules are approximately 80 nucleotides in length. Their secondary structure includes four short double-helical elements and three loops (D, anti-codon, and T loops). Further hydrogen bonds mediate the characteristic L-shaped molecular structure. tRNAs have two regions of fundamental functional importance: the anti-codon, which is responsible for specific mRNA codon recognition, and the 3' end, to which the tRNAs corresponding amino acid is attached (by aminoacyl-tRNA synthetases). tRNAs cope with the degeneracy of the genetic code in two manners: having more than one tRNA (with a specific anti-codon) for a particular amino acid; and 'wobble' base-pairing, i.e. permitting non-standard base-pairing at the 3rd anti-codon position. The record is from RNAcentral. Lineage: Bacteria; candidate division WWE3.